Molecule: long non-coding RNA, 472 nt
Filed under: Monodelphis domestica (gray short-tailed opossum)
Lineage: Eukaryota; Metazoa; Chordata; Mammalia; Didelphimorphia; Didelphidae
Description: lncRNA (ENSMODG00000040689.1)
Source: RNAcentral
UGCACUUUGUACAGAAAGCUGUGAACUUUAGCCUAUCCCAAAGGAACCCAGCCUCCUCCUCCAGAUUGUAUCCACCUCUCAUUCUUAUUCUUCCCCAAAUCCUCAAUUGAAGAUUGACCAUGCUCUGGAGAUUUUCCACUCAUUCUUUUGAAUUUUUCAUGAAGGAAGUAGGAAGAAGUUAAUAGAAUGUCUGAAGUGUGUGCAGCUGCAUUGGGGCCUGGAGACAAUGAGCACUCUGCAGAGAAUAUUCAGCCUGCAUCUCACGCUGGAGGAAAGAAAGAAAACAACUUGCUUUGACACCACAGUUGAUAGCAUCAGUGCAGCUCAAGUACAGACCCUUUCAUUUGCAGAAAUCAGAUCUCAGAGGAGGUUGAGAAGAUUCUUCCUUGAAAUUCUUGGUCUUGCUAGCAAGCAUAGCUAAACAGAGGCACCAAGGAGAUCAUUCCAAGACUAAAGACAGCAUCAGUGUGAC